GGAGUCUGGACCGUGUCUCAGUUCCAGUGUGGCUGAUCAUCCUCUCAGACCAGCUAGAGAUCGUCGCCUUGGUAGGCCGUUACCCCACCAACUAGCUAAUCCCACCUGGGCGCAUCUGAAUGUGACCGUAUCCGGUCUUUCCCCCUCAGGGUAUACGCGGUAUUAGCACCCGUUUCCAGGUGUUAUCCCCCUCAUUCAGGCAGCUUCCCAGGCAUUACUCACCCGUCCGCCACUCGUCAUCAAGAAAGCAAGCUUUCUCAUGUUACCGUUCGACUUGCAUGUAUUAAGCCUGCCGCCAGCGUUCAAU
RNAcentral lists this ribosomal RNA (307 nucleotides) under uncultured Ruminobacter sp. Its description in RNAcentral is "partial 16S ribosomal RNA". Lineage: Bacteria; Pseudomonadati; Pseudomonadota; Gammaproteobacteria; Aeromonadales; Succinivibrionaceae. The record is from RNAcentral.